RNAcentral lists this transfer RNA (69 nucleotides) under Ictidomys tridecemlineatus (thirteen-lined ground squirrel). Its description in RNAcentral is "Spermophilus tridecemlineatus (thirteen-lined ground squirrel) tRNA". It matches the Rfam family "tRNA". From Rfam's summary of the family: Transfer RNA (tRNA) molecules are approximately 80 nucleotides in length. Their secondary structure includes four short double-helical elements and three loops (D, anti-codon, and T loops). Lineage: Eukaryota; Metazoa; Chordata; Mammalia; Rodentia; Sciuridae. The record is from Rfam by way of RNAcentral.
GGGGUUAUGGCUCAGUGGUAGAGUGCUUGCCUCAUACGUACGAGGCCCUGGGUUCAAUCCUCAGCACCA